AUGCUUGCUUCAACAGAAUAUAUACUAAAAAUUGGAACGAUACAGAGAAGAUCAGCAUGGCACUUGUGCAAGGAUGAUACGCAAAUUCACAAAGCAUUCCAUAUGUUU
This 108-nucleotide small nuclear RNA is filed under the name Monodon monoceros (narwhal). Lineage: Eukaryota; Metazoa; Chordata; Mammalia; Artiodactyla; Monodontidae. The record is from RNAcentral.